This 410-nucleotide ribosomal RNA is filed under the name uncultured Pseudonocardia sp. Its description in RNAcentral is "bacterial SSU rRNA". It matches the Rfam family "Bacterial small subunit ribosomal RNA", at positions 355 to 774 of the family's 1533-position model. The record is from RNAcentral. Lineage: Bacteria; Bacillati; Actinomycetota; Actinomycetes; Pseudonocardiales; Pseudonocardiaceae.
UGGGGAAUAUUGCGCAAUGGGCGGAAGCCUGACGCAGCGACGCCGCGUGGGGGAUGACGGCCUUCGGGUUGUAAACCUCUUUCGACUUCGACGAAGCCUUCGGGUGACGGUAGGGGUGGAAGAAGCACCGGCCAACUACGUGCCAGCAGCCGCGGUAAUACGUAGGGUGCGAGCGUUGUCCGGAAUUAUUGGGCGUAAAGAGCUCGUAGGCGGUGUGUCACGUCGGCCGUGAAAACCUGCAGCUUAACUGUGGGCGUGCGGUCGAUACGGGCAUCACUGGAGUUCGGCAGGGGAGACUGGAAUUCCUGGUGUAGCGGUGAAAUGCGCAGAUAUCAGGAGGAACACCGGUGGCGAAGGCGGGUCUCUGGGCCGAUACUGACGCUGAGGAGCGAAAGCGUGGGGAGCAAACA